Hemicordylus capensis (graceful crag lizard) is the source of this 926-nucleotide long non-coding RNA. RefSeq lists it as uncharacterized. The record is from RefSeq and is a predicted model, not a curated record. The transcript has 7 exons. Lineage: Eukaryota; Metazoa; Chordata; Lepidosauria; Squamata; Cordylidae.
AAAUUGUGUUUGCAAAUGCCGAAGUCUUCAGAACUGUCCAACAGUUCCGAACACCCUUUUAAUCUCCUCUUGGCGGGACGUCUUCAUCCAGAUUGCCCGAAAAAAGUGGAAAAGGCCAUUGCUGCUGGAAACUGGCUGUGAGGAAGCACCAACUCAUGACUGCUUCUGAAACACCAACGGCACGUUGCUCUUCUGCACUAGUUAGUAUUGUGUGUGCCAUUCCAGGCCAUAAGAAUAAGCCAAUAAGAUGAGAGGAAUGAAAACCUGUCACAAUCAUUCGAUGCAACCAGAGAGCCAAUGGAGAGGAGAAGCUGCACGAUUGCCCAAGAUGAAAAUGAAGAAAGGAAGGGGAGCUCUGGCUUAGCAACAGCAGAAAACAACUGUUCCUCCCUUCCCUGGCCAAGCUGUCUGUGUCCCCAGCCAGUUCAGAGGUGAUCAGGCUUGUUUGUUGGCAUGGAGAGGACAGAUGACAAAUAGGCUUAACUGCAGCACUGGAAUGCAAGAAAUGAAUCAGACAAGAGGAACCUGUGCCUCAUCUCACUCCCCUCACCCCACCCCUUGCCAGUGAAGAAGGCAGGAGGUUUUUCCCUCUCCGCCAAUGGGUUUGGUUUUACAAAUGCGUCUUUUGCGGCCUGAGUCAUAAGCCACGAUCACUUCGCAGCAAUGCAACCGCAGAAGCCCAUUCCAAAUGCAGCGAUGAUGCAUGCUUAUGUCAGAGGAAGCAUCUUCUUGGGAGAGGCAUUCCUUUUUGUGUGUCAGAAGGUGGAAAACCUUUUCUGGAAUGGUGCCUACCAUCUGCAACUCUUGUGCAUGGGUCCAAGAAGCAGAUUUCUGGAAGAAGGGUAAGGAGAACACUGUUAGGUACCUGCCAGACUCACUUUUUAGCAAUGGGAACACCACAAUCUGGAAGGAUCUACCAAGUGGUA